RNAcentral lists this ribosomal RNA (490 nucleotides) under uncultured bacterium. Its description in RNAcentral is "partial 16S ribosomal RNA". It matches the Rfam family "Bacterial small subunit ribosomal RNA", at positions 30 to 507 of the family's 1533-position model. The record is from RNAcentral.
CUUGCACGCUGGCGGCAGGCCUAACACAUGCAAGUCGAACGGGAACAGGGAUCAGCUUGCUGAUUGGCUGACGAGUGGCGGACGGGUGAGUAAUGUCUAGGAAACUGCCAGAUGGAGGGGGAUAACUACUGGAAACGGUAGUUAAUACCGCAUAACGACGCAAGACCAAAGAGGGGGAGCUUCGGACCGCUUGCCAUCGGAUUUGACCAGAUGGGAUUAGCUAGUAGGUGGGGUAACGGCUCACCGAGGCGACAAUCCCUAGCUGGUCUGAGAGGAUGACCAGCCACACUGGAACUGAGACACGGUCCCGACUCCUAUGGGAGGCAGCAGUGGGGAAUAUUGCACAAUGGGCGAAAGCCUGAUGCAGCAAUGCCGCGUGUAUGAAGAAGGCCUUCGGGUUGUAAAGUACUUUUAGCGGGGAGGAAGUGAGUAACGUUAAUACCUGUGCUUAUUGACGUUACCCGCAGAAGAAGCCCCGGCUAACUCCGUG